CAUCUGCAAUCGUAGGGCCUUAUUUUUUUGAAAAUGAACAUGGCCAAACUGUAACUGUAAAUUCA
Molecule: non-coding RNA, 65 nt
Filed under: Spodoptera frugiperda (fall armyworm)
Lineage: Eukaryota; Metazoa; Arthropoda; Insecta; Lepidoptera; Noctuidae
Source: RNAcentral